This 524-nucleotide ribosomal RNA is filed under the name uncultured bacterium. RNAcentral describes it as "partial 16S ribosomal RNA". It matches the Rfam family "Bacterial small subunit ribosomal RNA", at positions 28 to 523 of the family's 1533-position model. The record is from RNAcentral.
GACGAACGCUGGCGACGUGCCUAAUACAUGCAAGUCGAACGCUUCUUUUUCCACCGGAGCUUGCUCCACCGGAAAAAGAGGAGUGGCGAACGGGUGAGUAACACGUGGGUAACCUGCCCAUCAGAAGGGGAUAACACUUGGAAACAGGUGCUAAUACCGUAUAACAAUCAAAACCGCAUGGUUUUGAUUUGAAAGGCGCUUUCGGGUGUCGCUGAUGGAUGGACCCGCGGUGCAUUAGCUAGUUGGUGAGGUAACGGCUCACCAAGGCCACGAUGAAUAGCCGACCUGAGAGGGGGAUCGGCCACAUUGGGACUGAGACACGGACCAAACUCCUACGGGAGGCAGCAGUAGGGAAUCUUCGGCAAUGGACGAAAGUCUGACCGAGCAACGCCGCGUGAGUGAAGAAGGUUUUCGGAUCGUAAAACUCUGUUGUUAGAGAAGAACAAGGAUGAGAGUAACUGUUCAUCCCUUGACGGUAUCUAACCAGAAAGCCACGGCUAACUACGUGCCAGCCGCCGCCGUAA